RNAcentral lists this ribosomal RNA (468 nucleotides) under uncultured bacterium. Its description in RNAcentral is "partial 16S ribosomal RNA". It matches the Rfam family "Bacterial small subunit ribosomal RNA", at positions 28 to 507 of the family's 1533-position model. The record is from RNAcentral.
GACGAACGCUGGCGGCGUGCUUAACACAUGCAAGUCGAACGGAAAGGCCCUGCUUUUGUGGGGUGCUCGAGUGGCGAACGGGUGAGUAACACGUGAGUAACCUGCCCUUGACUUUGGGAUAACUUCAGGAAACUGGGGCUAAUACCGGAUAGGAGCUCCUGCUGCAUGGGGGGGGUUGGAAAGUUUCGGCGGUUGGGGAUGGACUCGCGGCUUAUCAGCUUGUUGGUGGGGUAGUGGCUUACCAAGGCUUUGACGGGUAGCCGGCCUGAGAGGGUGACCGGCCACAUUGGGACUGAGAUACGGCCCAGACUCGUACGGGAGGCAGCAGUGGGGAAUAUUGCACAAUGGGCGGGAGCGUGAUGCAGCAACGCCGCGUGCGGGAUGACGGCCUUCGGGUUGUAAACCGCUUUCGCCUGUGACGAAGCGUGAGUGACGGUAAUGGGUAAAGAAGCACCGGCUAACUACGUG